UACGUAGGGGGCUAGCGUUGUCCGGAAUCAUUGGGCGUAAAGCGCGUGUAGGCUGUUCUGCAAGUCGGGUGUGAAAGCCCCGGGCUCAACCUGGGAAGUGCACUCGAAACUGCAGAACUCGAGUCCUGGAGAGGAAGGCGGAAUUCUCGGUGUAGAGGUGAAAUUCGUAGAUAUCGAGAGGAACACCGGUGGCGAAGGCGGCCUUCUGGACAGUGACUGACGCUGAGACGCGAAAGCGUGGGGAGCAAACAGG
This 253-nucleotide ribosomal RNA is filed under the name uncultured bacterium. RNAcentral's name for it is "partial 16S ribosomal RNA". It matches the Rfam family "Bacterial small subunit ribosomal RNA", at positions 524 to 776 of the family's 1533-position model. The record is from RNAcentral.